Molecule: long non-coding RNA, 738 nt
Organism: Leptidea sinapis
Lineage: Eukaryota; Metazoa; Arthropoda; Insecta; Lepidoptera; Pieridae
Exons: 3
Source: RefSeq, a predicted model, not a curated record
GGGAUGUCUUCAGCAUUCUUAUAAAUAUCCAAGAGGCAGUCUAUCAACGUAAAUCUUUGAAGAUUAUAUUGGGGACAGUCAAAGAAAAUGUGAUCAAGAGUUUGGAUGGAUAAAUUACAGAAUUGACAAGUUGGAGAAUCUAAAACAUCGAUCCUAAAUAAAUGAGCACCACUACGAGAAUGUCCCAGACGUAACCGACAAAUUGUGGUGUAAAAUUUUCUGUGGACAUUUAAGGAUAGAAGAAUGAAUGAUAAUUGUUCUAAAUCAACAUUAUAAAAUGUUCCUACAACAUCUAAAAAAACACCAGCCAAUAUCUUAUUGUCAAUCUGGGCACUAUGGAUGUCAAGACAUAAAUGCCGUAUACUCUCACAAGCAGAACGACCACAUCGAAAUCCAAAUUGAUUAUUAGAUUACUGUGUGGAGGAAUGUUGGAUGGAAUUGAAGAAGAUUCAGUUUCCGACACUACCAUGGAAAAGUGAUAGCUGCCCAAAGAGUCCUGAUGAACUUGCCAUUCACAGCACAGGAAUAAUGAAGAUGAUACUAUUGUUAGAUCUAGUCCAUUUGGUCUCCAAGAAUUAGUACCCACUGUAGUUGGUUGAUCAUUAUUUAAGAGCAUUAAGUCAUUAUCGUCCAUUACAUCCAUGAUGUCUCUACCUCUAGAAUUGGUUCUAUUACAACCCCAAAUGGUAUGGUAAGCAUUAAAAUCACCAGCAAUUAUUAGUGGUUUUGGAAUACUAU